GAAACCUGGUUGAUCCUGCCAGUAGUCAUAUGCUUGUCUCAAAGAUUAAGCCAUGCAUGUCUAAGUAUAAGCGAUUUUAUACAGUGAAACUGCGAAUGGCUCAUUAAAUCAGUUAUAGUUUAUUUGAUAGUACAUUACUACUUGGAUAACCGUGGUAAUUCUAGAGCUAAUACAUGACAUCAAAACCCGACUUC
RNAcentral lists this ribosomal RNA (194 nucleotides) under uncultured eukaryote. RNAcentral describes it as "partial 18S ribosomal RNA". It matches the Rfam family "Eukaryotic small subunit ribosomal RNA", at positions 1 to 190 of the family's 1831-position model. The record is from RNAcentral.